RNAcentral lists this ribosomal RNA (561 nucleotides) under uncultured Sebacina. RNAcentral's name for it is "eukaryotic LSU rRNA". The stretch from base 158 to 311 matches the Rfam family "5.8S ribosomal RNA". The record is from RNAcentral. Lineage: Eukaryota; Fungi; Basidiomycota; Agaricomycetes; Sebacinales; Sebacinaceae.
UGUUGCCUUCUGUGCUGGCUCCUGCAAGUGCACGUCGGUGGCUUUCAUUCCAAUACCCCUGUGAACCUUUGGCCUCUUGCUAGCUUCGGCGGGCAGAGGAUUUUACAUACAAACUCGAAUGUAAUGAAACUCUUGUUGUGCACAAGCACUACUAUACAACUUUCAACAACGGAUCUCUUGGCUCUCGCAUCGAUGAAGAACGCAGCGAAAUGCGAUAAGUAAUGUGAAUUGCAGAAUUCAGUGAAUCAUCGAAUCUUUGAACGCACCUUGCACCCUUUGGUAUUCCGAAGGGUAUGCUCGUUUGAGUGUCAUUGUAUUCUCACACUUCCGAUCUUAGGGUUGGGAGCGGUGGACUUGGGUUUGCUGCUUCACCGUGGCUCACCUCAAAUAUGUUAGUGCAGCUCUUGGUUGGACAUAGUACGGCGUGAUAAGUGUUCUUCGCCGGUGCCUCGCAAAGAGGGUGGCCGAUCGGGAUGUUGUGCUCCAAACCGUCUUCGGACAAUCUCUGACGACUUGACCUCAAAUCGAGUAAGACUACCCGCUGAACUUAAGCAUAUCAAU